UACGAAGGGGGCUAGCGUUGUUCGGAAUUACUGGGCGUAAAGCGCGUGUAGGCGGGUCUUUAAGUCAGGGGUGAAAUGCCAAGGCUCAACCUUGGAACUGCCUUUGAUACUGGAGACCUUGAGUCCGGGAGAGGUGAGUGGAAUUGCGAGUGUAGAGGUGAAAUUCGUAGAUAUUCGCAAGAACACCAGUGGCGAAGGCGGCUCACUGGCCCGGAACUGACGCUGAGACGCUAAAGCGUGGGGAGCAAACAGG
This 253-nucleotide ribosomal RNA is filed under the name uncultured bacterium. RNAcentral's name for it is "partial 16S ribosomal RNA". It matches the Rfam family "Bacterial small subunit ribosomal RNA", at positions 524 to 776 of the family's 1533-position model. The record is from RNAcentral.